GUCUACAGCCAUAUCACACUGAACACACCCAAUCUUGUCUGAUCUUGGAAGCUAAGCAGGAUUAGGCCUGGUUAGUACUUGGAUGGGAGAAAUUUCGCUAUUUAUU
RNAcentral lists this ribosomal RNA (106 nucleotides) under Propithecus coquereli (Coquerel's sifaka). The record is from RNAcentral. Lineage: Eukaryota; Metazoa; Chordata; Mammalia; Primates; Indriidae.